GCGGGCGUGGCGGAAUGGCAGACGCCGCGGUCUUAAAAACCGCUGAGGGGCAACCCUCGUGCGGGUUCGAAUCCCGCCGUCCGCACCA
RNAcentral lists this transfer RNA (88 nucleotides) under Chloroflexia bacterium. RNAcentral's name for it is "tRNA-Leu". It matches the Rfam family "tRNA". Rfam says of the family: Transfer RNA (tRNA) molecules are approximately 80 nucleotides in length. Their secondary structure includes four short double-helical elements and three loops (D, anti-codon, and T loops). The record is from RNAcentral. Lineage: Bacteria; Bacillati; Chloroflexota; Chloroflexia.